This is a long non-coding RNA of Colius striatus (speckled mousebird), 1581 nucleotides long. RefSeq lists it as uncharacterized. The transcript has 4 exons. NCBI's taxonomy places the organism in Eukaryota, Metazoa, Chordata, Aves, Coliiformes, Coliidae. The record is from RefSeq and is a predicted model, not a curated record.
GGACCCCUAAACUCCCCUGGAGAAUGUUAUCUGCAGAUAGAAGCAUCUGGAAGUUCCUACUGUCUUUUUACCUUGUUUUUUUCUUGAGUCACCUCACGUCAUUUGGGAAGGAAGGGUCUCAGUCCUGAGGAUUAUAACAAACUGGUCACUUACUGGAAUACUUCCUCUUUCAUUUUCUCAAGAUGAAACCAUUGCUUUACCCAGCACAAGGAUAUCUUUUCUUCUACCAGAGUUUUUCCAGUGCAGCAGUGCUCGCAUCCCUCAGCUGUUUGAUAAAGAGGAUGCAAACCAGAUCUCCACUUGUUCCUGUGAGAUGUGAAAAGGCCCUUUGUCAGCAGUGCAUUGCGGUGGAAAGAGCUUUGUCUUUUGUAAUUUCAGCCUUAUUUUGAAGAUUUGAGGAAAUUAAGCAUCUUGGUUGGACAGAGGGGACAAGGUUGGGCAUGCUGACAUCAAUUGACUGUGAAAAAGGGAGAGGAGGAGCAUGUGGAAGGGAGGCCAGAUCCUGCCAGGUUUUCCUGGGAAAUGAGGCUUUUGCUUCCAAUGAUGCUUCCACAAAAGGAAGGGAGAAGGGAAGAGAGUCACCAUGCUGCAUGUGGAGUCCUGCAGGGCUGUUUCCCAGAUGGGGAGCUGCUGGGUCAACUUGAAGCAACCAACAUGGGCAACGUGCUCCUGUGACAGCGCAGCUGACAGUGGAAGUACUGAAGUACUUGCAGCCUCAUUUUCCUAUGUUGUCAAAUUUCGGGGAAUGGUGAACAAAGGGAUCCUGCACACCUUUUCAGCUUGGCAGCCUUAGCUUUUUUUGUAUGCUCUAAGUCCCACCUAGGGUGUUUUUGUGUCCAUUUGUCAGAUAGCAGGUACUUGCUUGCUGAAAUCCAUUCCUCCUGUUGUAAGGAUGAGUUAUCCUGUACUUUGCCACCUGCGAGGGCUGUGCUUGGCUGGCCAGGCAAGCUUGCUGCAUGCCAAAGCACCGUAUUUCCUGAGUCACCUUUGGGGUCAGCUCUUUACUGCCCUUUGGCAUGAUGCAGUCUUUGGGUUUGCGUUAACUCGAGUCAGGACUGGAAUAGGAGAUGUUACUUCUGCAGAGAACCUGGUUGCGGAAACGAAUUGUGUUAUUUUGGGUUAUACCAAGACGGGUCAAUGGUCUUUCUGUUCUGUCUAUGAUUAACCUGAUGGUGACAGGAGAACAAAAAAUGACAUUAAAAGUGAUUAAAAACCUUGGAAGGAUAUUUUGAAUGCCAGAGGAUGCUCAUCCUCAAAAUAGGGUUGUUUUAAGCUAAUUUGAUGAUGGGUUCAAGCCAGUUUUGCAGAUUCCCAUCUGAGUAAUGGGCAUUUCUGUGGAAUUGAUCAGAAAGAGCUGCAGUUUCUUUUACCAUGAACAAAAAGAACUGUCAGACUGAUGACAAUGUGUAACAGCAAUGACUGAGUCUCUUAACCAGAAGUACACAUCCAGUUAAAAAAUAAAAUGAAAUAAAAGAUACCUCACAGGCCUCUGAAUCAGUGCUGAAAAUCACUCUGGAGCCUUACUUGCAGUGGGUAAAUAAAGACAUUGAGAGAAGUAAUGGGAGUGCAGCAUUGCAGUAG